AUCUAAGUACCCCGAGGAAAAGAAAUCAACCGAGAUUCCCCCAGUAGCGGCGAGCGAACGGGGAGGAGCCCAGAGCCUGAAUCAGCAUGUGUGUUAGUGGAAGCGUCUGGAAAGGCGCGCGAUACAGGGUGACAGCCCCGUACACAAAAGCGCAUGUGCUGUGAGCUCGAUGAGUAGGGCGGGACACGUGGUAUCCUGUCUGAAUAUGGGGGGACCAUCCUCCAAGGCUAAAUACUCCUGACUGACCGAUAGUGAACCAGUACCGUGAGGGAAAGGCGAAAAGAACCCCGGCGAGGGGAGUGAAAAAGAACCUGAAACCGUGUACGUACAAGCAGUGGGAGCCCCACCACCAAAGCAUUCUCUGGUGUUGAAGGCCCUGCAAAGCAGCAUCGCGGUGGCGGAGCGUCGUUUGCGACGCCCAACACACAAAACAAGCGGUGAGUGCUUUGGGGUGGGGUGACUGCGUACCUUUUGUAUAAUGGGUCAGCGACUUAUAUUCUGUAGCAAGGUUAACCGAAUAGGGGAGCCGGAGGGAAACCGAGUCUUAAUUGGGCGUUAAGUUGCAGGGUAUAGACCCGAAACCCGGUGAUCUAGCCAUGGGCAGGUUGAAGGUUGGGUAACACUAACUGGAGGACCGAACCGACUAAUGUUGAAAAAUUAGCGGAUGACCUGUGGCUGGGGGUGAAAGGCCAAUCAAACCGGGAGAUAGCUGGUUCUCCCCGAAAGCUAUUUAGGUAGCGCCUCGUGAAUUCAUCUCCGGGGGUAGAGCACUGUUUCGGCUAGGGGGCCAUCCCGGCUUACCAACCCGAUGCAAACUGCGAAUACCGGAGAAUGUUAUCACGGGAGACACACGGCGGGUGCUAACGUCCGUCGUGAAGAGGGAAACAACCCAGACCGCCAGCUAAGGUCCCAAAGUCAUGGUUAAGUGGGAAACGAUGUGGGAAGGCCCAGACAGCCAGGAUGUUGGCUUAGAAGCAGCCAUCAUUUAAAGAAAGCGUAAUAGCUCACUGGUCGAGUCGGCCUGCGCGGAAGAUGUAACGGGGCUAAACCAUGCACCGAAGCUGCGGCAGCGAACGUAUCACUUAAAGCGAUUCAGAAGCUUACGAUUGACGGAGCGAAGCGACGUCAAAGCGUAUACAA
Molecule: ribosomal RNA, 1140 nt
Filed under: Salmonella enterica subsp. enterica
Lineage: Bacteria; Pseudomonadati; Pseudomonadota; Gammaproteobacteria; Enterobacterales; Enterobacteriaceae
Description: partial 23S ribosomal RNA
Rfam family: Bacterial large subunit ribosomal RNA
Source: RNAcentral